This 492-nucleotide ribosomal RNA is filed under the name uncultured bacterium. RNAcentral's name for it is "partial 16S ribosomal RNA". It matches the Rfam family "Bacterial small subunit ribosomal RNA", at positions 29 to 507 of the family's 1533-position model. The record is from RNAcentral.
AGUGAACGCUGGCGGUAGGCCUAACACAUGCAAGUCGAACGGCAGCACAGUAAGAGCUUGCUCUUACGGGUGGCGAGUGGCGGACGGGUGAGGAAUACAUCGGAAUCUACUUUUUCGUGGGGGAUAACGUAGGGAAACUUACGCUAAUACCGCAUACGACCUACGGGUGAAAGCAGGGGAUCUUCGGACCUUGCGCGAUUGAAUGAGCCGAUGUCGGAUUAGCUAGUUGGCGGGUUAAAGGCCCACCAAGGCGACGAUCCGUAGCUGGUCUGAGAGGAUGAUCAGCCACACUGGAACUGAGACACGGUCCAGACUCCUACGGGAGGCAGCAGUGGGGAAUAUUGGACAAUGGGCGCAAGCAUGAUCCAGCCAUACCGCGUGGGUGAAGAAGGCCUUCGGGUUGUAAAGCCCUUUUGUUGGGAAAGAAAAGCAGCAGGUUAAUACCCCGCUGUUCUGACGGUACCCAAAGAAUAAGCACCGGCUAACUUCGUG